RNAcentral lists this unclassified non-coding RNA (330 nucleotides) under soil metagenome. Its description in RNAcentral is "partial contains 5.8S ribosomal RNA, internal transcribed spacer 2, and large subunit ribosomal RNA". The stretch from base 1 to 120 matches the Rfam family "5.8S ribosomal RNA", at positions 35 to 154 of the family's 154-position model. The record is from RNAcentral.
GAUGAAGAACGUAGCGAAACGCGAUAAGUAAUGUGAAUUGCAGAAUUUAGUGAAUCAUCGAACUUUUGAACGCACAUUGCGCCCCUUGGUAUUCCGAGGGGCAUGCCUGUUCGAGCGUCAUUUCAACCCUCAAGCACAGCUUGGUCUUGGGCUUCGCCGCUAACCCGGCGGGUCUUAAAAUCAGUGGCGGUGCCGUCGGGCCCUGAGCGCAGUAAUCUCUCUCGCUAUAGGGUCCCGGCGGAUGCUGGCCAGUAACCCCCAAUUUUCUAUGGUUGACCUCGGAUCAGGUAGGGAUACCCGCUGAACUUAAGCAUAUCAAUAAGCGGAGGA